RNAcentral lists this ribosomal RNA (495 nucleotides) under uncultured bacterium. RNAcentral describes it as "partial 16S ribosomal RNA". It matches the Rfam family "Bacterial small subunit ribosomal RNA", at positions 28 to 507 of the family's 1533-position model. The record is from RNAcentral.
GAUGAACGCUGGCGGCGUGCCUAAUACAUGCAAGUCGAACGCUGAAGGAGGAGCUUGCUCUUCUGGAUGAGUUGCGAACGGGUGAGUAACGCGUAGGUAACCUGCCUGGUAGCGGGGGAUAACUAUUGGAAACGAUAGCUAAUACCGCAUGACAACAGUUAUUGCAUGAUAACUGUUUAAAAGGGGCAACUGCUCCACUACCAGAUGGACCUGCGUUGUAUUAGCUAGUUGGUGAGGUAACGGCUCACCAAGGCGACGAUACAUAGCCGACCUGAGAGGGUGGUCGGCCACACUGGGACUGAGACACGGCCCAGACUCCUACGGGAGGCAGCAGGAGGGAAUCUUCGGAAAUGGACGGAAGUCUGACCGAGCAACGCCGCGGGAGUGAAGAAGGUUUUCGGAUCGUAAAGCUCGGUUGUAAGAGAAGAAAGAGUGUGAGAGUGGAAAGUUCACACUGUGACGGUAUCUUACCAGAAAGGGACGGCUAACUACGUG